CCUGUGUGGAUGACGGUACCGGAAUAAGAAGCACCGGCUAACUACGUGCCAGCAGCCGCGGUAAUACGUAGGGUGCGAGCGUUAAUCGGAAUUACUGGGCGUAAAGCGUGCGCAGGCGGUUUGGUAAGUCAGAUGUGAAAUCCCCGGGCUCAACCUGGGAACUGCAUUUGAGACUGCCAAGCUGGAGUUUGGCAGAGGGGGGUGGAAUUCCACGUGUAGCAGUGAAAUGCGUAGAGAUGUGGAGGAACACCGAUGGCGAAGGCAGCCCCCUGGGCCAAUACUGACGCUCAUGCACGAAAGCGUGGGGAGCAAACAGGAUUAGAUACCCUGGUAGUCCACGCCCUAAACGAUGUCAACUAGGUGUUGGGAGGGUUAAACCUUUUAGUGCCGUAGCUAACGCGUGAAGUUGACCGCCUGGGGAGUACGGCCGCAAGGCUAAAAACUCAAAGGAAUUGACGGG
This 460-nucleotide ribosomal RNA is filed under the name uncultured bacterium. Its description in RNAcentral is "bacterial SSU rRNA". It matches the Rfam family "Bacterial small subunit ribosomal RNA", at positions 460 to 917 of the family's 1533-position model. The record is from RNAcentral.